RNAcentral lists this ribosomal RNA (1500 nucleotides) under metagenome. Its description in RNAcentral is "bacterial SSU rRNA". It matches the Rfam family "Bacterial small subunit ribosomal RNA". The record is from RNAcentral.
AGAGUUUGAUCAUGGCUCAGAUUGAACGCUGGCGGCAGGCCUAACACAUGCAAGUCGAACGGUAACAGGAAGCAGCUUGCUGCUUCGCUGACGAGUGGCGGACGGGUGAGUAAUGUCUGGGAAGCUGCCUGAUGGAGGGGGAUAACUACUGGAAACGGUAGCUAAUACCGCAUAAUGUCGCAAGACCAAAGAGGGGGACCUUCGGGCCUCUUGCCAUCGGAUGUGCCCAGAUGGGAUUAGCUUGUUGGUGGGGUAACGGCUCACCAAGGCGACGAUCCCUAGCUGGUCUGAGAGGAUGACCAGCCACACUGGAACUGAGACACGGUCCAGACUCCUACGGGAGGCAGCAGUGGGGAAUAUUGCACAAUGGGCGCAAGCCUGAUGCAGCCAUGCCGCGUGUAUGAAGAAGGCCUUCGGGUUGUAAAGUACUUUCAGCGGGGAGGAAGGGAGUAAAGUUAAUACCUUUGCUCAUUGACGUUACCCGCAGAAGAAGCACCGGCUAACUCCGUGCCAGCAGCCGCGGUAAUACGGAGGGUGCAAGCGUUAAUCGGAAUUACUGGGCGUAAAGCGCACGCAGGCGGUUUGUUAAGUCAGAUGUGAAAUCCCCGGGCUCAACCUGGGAACUGCAUCUGAUACUGGCAAGCUUGAGUCUCGUAGAGGGGGGUAGAAUUCCAGGUGUAGCGGUGAAAUGCGUAGAGAUCUGGAGGAAUACCGGUGGCGAAGGCGGCCCCCUGGACGAAGACUGACGCUCAGGUGCGAAAGCGUGGGGAGCAAACAGGAUUAGAUACCCUGGUAGUCCACGCCGUAAACGAUGUCGACUUGGAGGUUGUGCCCUUGAGGCGUGGCUUCCGGAGCUAACGCGUUAAGUCGACCGCCUGGGGAGUACGGCCGCAAGGUUAAAACUCAAAUGAAUUGACGGGGGCCCGCACAAGCGGUGGAGCAUGUGGUUUAAUUCGAUGCAACGCGAAGAACCUUACCUGGUCUUGACAUCCACGGAAGUUUUCAGAGAUGAGAAUGUGCCUUCGGGAACCGUGAGACAGGUGCUGCAUGGCUGUCGUCAGCUCGUGUUGUGAAAUGUUGGGUUAAGUCCCGCAACGAGCGCAACCCUUAUCCCUUGUUGCCAGCGGUCCGGCCGGGAACUCAAAGGAGACUGCCAGUGAUAAACUGGAGGAAGGUGGGGAUGACGUCAAGUCAUCAUGGCCCUUACGACCAGGGCUACACACGUGCUACAAUGGCGCAUACAAAGAGAAGCGACCUCGCGAGAGCAAGCGGACCUCAUAAAGUGCGUCGUAGUCCGGAUUGGAGUCUGCAACUCGACUCCAUGAAGUCGGAAUCGCUAGUAAUCGUGGAUCAGAAUGCCACGGUGAAUACGUUCCCGGGCCUUGUACACACCGCCCGUCACACCAUGGGAGUGGGUUGCAAAAGAAGUAGGUAGCUUAACCUUCGGGAGGGCGCUUACCACUUUGUGAUUCAUGACUGGGGUGAAGUCGAAACAGGGUA